This 663-nucleotide ribosomal RNA is filed under the name Vairimorpha ceranae. RNAcentral's name for it is "SSU rRNA". It matches the Rfam family "Microsporidia small subunit ribosomal RNA", at positions 358 to 1058 of the family's 1311-position model. The record is from RNAcentral. Lineage: Eukaryota; Fungi; Microsporidia; Nosematidae.
GUAUUGAGGUGAUUAAUUGGAGGGCAAAUCAAGUGCCAGCAGCCGCGGUAAUACUUGUUCCAAGAGUGUGUACGAUGAUUGAUGCAGUUAAAAAGUCCGUAGUUUAUUUUUUUAAGAAGCAAUAUGAGGUGUACUGUAUAGUUGGGAGAAAGAUGAAAUGUGACGACCCUGACUGGACGAACAGAAGCGAAAGCUGUACACUUGUAUGUAUUUUUUGAACAAGGACGUAAGCUGGAGGAGCGAAGAUGAUUAGAUACCAUUGUAGUUCCAGCAGUAAACUACGCCGACGAUGUGAUAUGGAAAUAUUAAUUUGUAUUACAUAAUAGAAAUUUGAGUUUUUUGGCUCUGGGGAUAGUAUGAUCGCAAGAUUGAAAAUUAGAGAAAUUGACGGAAGAAUACCACAAGGAGUGGAUUGUGCGGCUUAAUUUGACUCAACGCGAGGUAACUUACCAAUAUUUUAUUAUUUUGAGAGGACGGUUUUUUGUUUGAGAAUGAUAACAGUGGUGCAUGGCCGUUUUCAAUGGAUGCUGUGAAGUUUUGAUUAAUUUCAACAAGACGUGAGACCCUUAUUUUUAUUAAAGACAGACACAAUCAGUGUAGGAAGGAAAGGAUUAAAACAGGUCCGUUAUGCCCUCUGACAUUUUGGGCUGCACGCGCAAUACA